This 361-nucleotide ribosomal RNA is filed under the name uncultured Streptococcus sp. RNAcentral describes it as "bacterial SSU rRNA". It matches the Rfam family "Bacterial small subunit ribosomal RNA", at positions 1019 to 1382 of the family's 1533-position model. The record is from RNAcentral. Lineage: Bacteria; Bacillati; Bacillota; Bacilli; Lactobacillales; Streptococcaceae.
UUCGGUACAUCGGUGACAGGUGGUGCAUGGUUGUCGUCAGCUCGUGUCGUGAGAUGUUGGUUAAGUCCCGCAACGAGCGCAACCCCUAUUGUUAGUUGCCAUCAUUCAGUUGGGCACUCUAGCGAGACUGCCGGUAAUAAACCGGAGGAAGGUGGGGAUGACGUCAAAUCAUCAUGCCCCUUAUGACCUGGGCUACACACGUGCUACAAUGGUUGGUACAACGAGUUGCGAGUCGGUGACGGCGAGCUAAUCUCUUAAAGCCAAUCUCAGUUCGGAUUGUAGGCUGCAACUCGCCUACAUGAAGUCGGAAUCGCUAGUAAUCGCGGAUCAGCACGCCGCGGUGAAUACGUUCCCGGGCCUU